UACGGAGGGUGCAAGCGUUGUCCGGAUUUAUUGGGUUUAAAGGGUUCGUAGGCGGUAUUGUAAGUCAGUGGUGAAAUCCUUCGGCUCAACCGAAGAACUGCCAUUGAUACUGCAGUACUAGAGUAUAAUUGAGGUAGUUGGAAUGCGUAGUGUAGCGGUGAAAUGCAUAGAUAUUACGCAGAACGCCAAUUGCGAAGGCAGAUUACUAAUAAUCAACUGACACUGAUGGACGAAAGCGUGGGUAGCGAACAGG
RNAcentral lists this ribosomal RNA (253 nucleotides) under uncultured bacterium. RNAcentral describes it as "partial 16S ribosomal RNA". It matches the Rfam family "Bacterial small subunit ribosomal RNA", at positions 524 to 776 of the family's 1533-position model. The record is from RNAcentral.